Molecule: ribosomal RNA, 254 nt
Filed under: uncultured bacterium
Lineage: Bacteria
Description: partial 16S ribosomal RNA
Rfam family: Bacterial small subunit ribosomal RNA
Source: RNAcentral
UACGUAGGUGACCAGCGUUGUCCGGAUUUACUGGGCGUAAAGAGCUCGUAGGUGGUUCGGUAAGUCGGGUGUGAAAACUCUGGGCUCAACUCAGAGACGCCACCCGAUACUGCUGUGACUUGAGUCUGGUAGGGGAGUGUGGAAUUCCCAGUGUAGCGGUGAAAUGCGCAGAUAUUGGGAGGAACACCAGUGGCGAAGGCGGCACUCUGGGCCAGUACUGACACUGAGGAGCGAAAGCGUGGGUAGCGAACAGG